ACCAGACUGGCUCCACCCAGAGCCAAGAGAGGAUCACCAGCCUUCUGAGGCCUGCUCUUUUCUCUGGCUGAGCACUUCCAUUCUGACUCCCCUCAGAUCUCUCCCCAGGCAGGUGCCGGCCGGCCUCACCGCACCCCAGCCCAGCCAUACCCGAACCGUCUCUGCGCCGCUGCCCACGCUGCCGCUUCCGCCCAGCACACCGAGAAUUUGGGUUUGUGGAUUCGUUUAUUUGCCAGCUCCACGGAUCGGGGCAGGGGCUCCUGGCUCCCAGCGGAGGGCGCGAGGAGAUGCGUGGCCGAUUGCUCAGUGCUCCGGGUUCCGAGCUACUGCCUCCAUGCGCACAAAAGCAACUUGGAGGCCCCAGGUGUUCCAAGGGCACCUAGUUUCCACCAGGACUGGGUGAGGAGCAAGGAGAAAGCAGAUGACCAAAAUUGGGCCUAUGGGGAGUCCCAGAAUGUGGCCCAUCAGAGGUCUGGCAGCCUCAGGACAGGAGCCUCUGGGGCUGGAAGCCUGACAGCCAAGGCGCAGAAAAUUGGUCAGCCCCCUGGCUGCAGCAGGACAGCAAAUGGGGGAGCGACAGAGUACCCAGCUCAGGUAGGGCUCAGGUUGGGGCCCAGGGAGGGCUCAGGUAGAGCAUUCGUGGAGGCUGUGCCUGUUUUCUCUUUGAACUGGGCACAGGAAGGCUUAUCUGACCACACUGGCAGGGUCUGUGAGUUUCUCUUGCUGAGAGAACUGAAGCUAAGAUGCUGCAGUGACCCCUGGGGCCUGUGGCUGGUCAGGGAGCUCAGCACACAGGCCCAUAUGCCCAAGCAUCCUCUCCCGGGUGUGGUUGGUCCUGAGUGCCCAGAGACCUUUUCCUCCAUCUCGGUGGCAGGCAAGCUGGUAUGUGGCUUCCCCUCCACCUGUCUCCUCUGGAUGCCACCUGCAUCCUUGAGCUGCCCUUUAGUCAGUGUGGGUGGGUUCCUGCCCACCUCCAUGCCAGGCACCCACCUCCACCCUGGCCCAGGUUGGAGGUUGGGCAGGAUGGGGAGAAGCAGAGUGUGCAGGCUGGUGGUGGGUCAACCCAGUGCUCAGAGCCCACGGGGCAGUGAGCAGGACUCAGCACCAUGCGCUUGA
Molecule: long non-coding RNA, 1116 nt
Filed under: Bos indicus x Bos taurus (hybrid cattle)
Lineage: Eukaryota; Metazoa; Chordata; Mammalia; Artiodactyla; Bovidae
Description: lncRNA (ENSBIXG00005020295.1)
Source: RNAcentral